Molecule: non-coding RNA, 1595 nt
Organism: Nothobranchius furzeri (turquoise killifish)
Lineage: Eukaryota; Metazoa; Chordata; Actinopteri; Cyprinodontiformes; Nothobranchiidae
Source: RefSeq, a predicted model, not a curated record
UUUCACUCGUUACUUUGGUCAGUUUCUUUCUUUCAAAGACAGCUGAGGGUCAUGAGGAUGACUCGAAUUACUAAAUUAGUCUUUAGUAUUAGUAUGUGUGAGUGAGUAAAUGGGAAUUUGUCUGUUUUUGAUAAAACGACUUCUAGAGUACUAUAACCCCCCCAAGGUCCUGUACAACACAAUCAUUCUGCACACACAUUCACUAUGGAACUAGGAUUGGGACCACAUUCAGCGUAACUUGUACAAUAUUCAGCGUAACUUGUGCCAAGUUUUGUAACUUCGAACAUGUUUCAUCACAUGUAACUUUGGAUUCGUAACUUGUAACUUUAGUUUUCUAACUUGUAAUUCUCAAUUUGUACUUGUAUUUCUUGUUUUGUAACAGGAACGUUGUAUUUUGUACAUAUAUUUUUAUUUUGUAAAAUCAAACUUUUAUUUUGUACAUUUACUACUCAUUUUAUAAAAUCAAACAUUCAUUCAGAAACAUGAAACUUUUGUUUUGUAACUAGAAGACUUCCAAAUUGAAAAAAAUCAAGGUACAAGUUUGAAAUCAAAACUCUCAAAAUACACAUUUCAUUCUACAGGUACAAACCAAAAUCCUACAGUGUUACAGAUCUUUUUGUCUUGAUUCUAGCGUCAGUGGGAGGAACUUGGGUGGAACCAAUGAGAGCACGAGUCUUGGCUACCAAUCACGUUUCUCGAAUUCCUGUCCAAUCAUUGGGAGAGGAGGGCAGAGCUGUAGAGACGACACUCCGAAUGUCCGAAUCCACAGGAAGGAUGCUUAUGAGUACGGAUUCUCGCCGGUCUAGCAAGGCCGGGUCCUUGAAGACCGCUAAAACCGGAAGUCAGCGGCUCUGAAUUCGGACCUUCACCUCUACGGUGACCCGUAGGUCCCGUCACAGCCGUGGCGGCAGCUACACGCAAAGGAAAAAUGCUAAAGCUAGCGAAAAUGGAGCAGGAAUAUUAAGGAGCUACAGCAGCUUCACGUCCAUCAGCAGCGUUUGUUCACAACCGUUUUCAGGUCAGCAUGCACUGUGCUGCACAUCUGCAUUGGUGCUGGUGAAGUUGUGGGUCUGGAGGAUGAGCCUGAGGAAGAUGUGUGAGGAGGAGGUCAGUGGUGCUCUGUCCUGGAGGAGGUCCCAGCAGACCACCACUACUGUUAACAGGCAAGUCAUCCACAGAGAUGUAACAGCCGUCGUCUGAGCCAGCCCAGCGGUCCCUGUAGAUGGACGAUGGAGUGGACAGUGAGAGGAAGCGUCCCAAAGCUCUCUCUGCAGACCGUCCUGUAUGAUGUUCCUCUGGCCAGAAACGUCCAGCCACGGGUCUGCUCCAGCCCUCCAUCCACGUCUGGAUCCUCCUGCAGCAGAUCCAGCUGCACUGUUAAAGACUUCCUGCUCACUCAGUUUAAAUAAAUGAUCCAGGAAGAGUCACUCAGGUUAAUCCUGCUUUAACCGUACAUAACUGGUCCAUACUGGUUUUGAUCUGUAAAUAAGUGUAACCUAUUAUAAAUAAUCUUGUCUCCUUACCAUCUUUUCAUUUUCUGUUCAUGUAACAUGUUCAAAAGCAUCUGUAAUUAAUAAAAUUGGUGAUAAAAUCAA